AAAAGGUUCAAGCAAGCAGAUCCAUUUUCUGCCACCGAAUACAUUAGCAUGGGAUAAUGGAAUAGGACCCUGUCCUCCUAUUUUCAGUUGGUUUUGGCAGCGCGAGGACUAGGGUAAUGAUUAAUAGGGAUAGUUGGGGGCAUUAAUAUUUAAUUGUCAGAGGUGAAAUUCUUGGAUUUAUGAAAGAUUAACUUCUGCGAAAGCAUCUGCCAAGGAUGUUUUCAUUAAUCAAGAACGAAAGUUAGGGGAUCGAAGACGAUCAGAUACCGUCGUAGUCUUAACCAUAAACGAUGCCGACCAGCGAUUAGGAGACGUUGAAUACAAAACACCACCAUCGGCGCGGUCGUCCUUGGCGUUGUC
This 360-nucleotide ribosomal RNA is filed under the name Acanthamoeba genotype T4. RNAcentral's name for it is "SSU rRNA". It matches the Rfam family "Eukaryotic small subunit ribosomal RNA", at positions 769 to 1091 of the family's 1831-position model. The record is from RNAcentral. Lineage: Eukaryota; Discosea; Longamoebia; Acanthamoebidae.